This 11962-nucleotide long non-coding RNA is filed under the name Heterocephalus glaber (naked mole-rat). RNAcentral describes it as "lncRNA (ENSHGLG00000032763.1)". The record is from RNAcentral. Lineage: Eukaryota; Metazoa; Chordata; Mammalia; Rodentia; Bathyergidae.
GGGGGCGCGGCUUUGUGGCGGCCGCGGACCGCGGAGGCCCGGCGCAGCCCCGUCGGCUCGGCGCUCUCCGCAGAAAGGCUCUACGCCCCUGCCCAUCCCUCGGAUCUGGUCUGGGGAGGGCCGGGGUUGCUGCUGGAAGCCCCCCCCACCCCCCAGCCGUGCUCCGCCGCCGGGAAGGAUUCGAGGCUGGGCUCCGAGCGAGGCGGAGGCUGCAGGGCCCCGGGCGCACCCCGCCCCGCGCACGCCGCCGGAGCCCUGGCAGGCGCAGCCCCGGGGGCUCCCUGCACCCGCGGGAGGCGGCUGCGUAUUCCUCGGGGUCCCCGGGCCAGGAAGACGGCGGCUCUGGGCUCCUCCAGCAACACAGAGAGGAGAGCGAGGUGUCCCCAGAUGGGCAUCCCUCCCACAGUCCCUCUGCUUCCCUGGAAGAUCUGUCCGCACCAUGCUCAGAACCAGUCACCCUCCCCUAAAAGAGAGGAUUUCAUUUACAAACAUGAACGCUGGUUACUAAACUCGCUUUUUGCCCUCCAGGCUCAGAUCGGUGGAGCUCAGGCCUGGGAAGAAGGUCAGGCUGUGGCUCCAUCAGCAUUUGCUCCUGGGGGUGUUGAGGAGGUGGGGAGAGGAGAAGAAACCAGAGAUACCUGUUCGGUGAGGCCUGGUCCUUCCAGCUGGGCCUCUGGGAGCUUCACCUUGGCAGCGGGCCUUUGGCAGUCGUGGCUCACAUGCCAGCUCCUGAGACAGGACGCUUCCACUCUGCCUCAGUUUCCCCGUCAGCCAUGGGAGGGGCAACACCCCCUGCUCUAGCCUCAAAGAGUUCCUGGAUGCAUCCAGUGUUAUAAUGGGCUCGAAUGGUGUACAACUCAAAAGGUGCCUAGAAAAUGAGUAAUGCGUUAAUUAAUACGAUAUUCACUCAUACAGAGGCCACUGAGACACAUGGGGAAACCACAGUCCAGCAGUAUGCCUGGGUUUCUGGAAGCAGCCAUGCUUAUGAUCCAGCCUACGAUCUGUGACUCUUGCUGUGUUGCCCCAGGGAUGUGACUCAACCUCUCUGGGCCUCCAGUGCCUCGUGCAUGACACCCACAGCUUGGAUGAGAAGUUUCCCAAAUCUCUUAUGCACAUCUGCUCUAUGACUUUCAGAGGUACCUGGCUGAAGAUAAAAAUUUCUUAAAUAGGUGUUUCUUUGCAUGGCUGAUUUCUAUUUAUGGCAAUAGGUUGGUGUUCCCUAUAGGGGGGAUAUGUCUCCUUUUCUGUCGAAAUCAAUUUAUGUGGGUAAGAAAUGAGUCUCCUUCUUGAAAGAGAAAUGCAAAGCAAAUUAUGGCAGGUGGCCUGAGGAUGGGACCAAAAUCGAGACAACAGUUUGUAAAGUUUCAUGGGCCCACUUUUUAGAAAGAGUUCGUGUUUCUCUUAGGGGUUUUCUGUACCCUUAGUUGAUGGUGGGGGGAGUAAGUUGCCAGUUAAACCCAUGCUGUGUCCUGUGUUGUCCUUGGGGUCCCAACACCAGAGGCCCUCCCCAACUCCCCCCAUCCGUAGACCCCAUUUACCUCCACCCUGGGGUCACAGUGACCCAGUGCUCUCCUUCCCCGAUGGCUCACCUCUCUGAGCCUGUUUGCUCAGGGAAAUGGGGAGAAGAAACGCCCUGUGAAUGAGAUCAGGGGGUUGGGGAGCCUCACCACGAAGCAGGGAGAGUUCUGGAACAGGGCACCGGCUCAGGGGGCAGCAGGUGCCAGGGGCCCUGGAGCAGGUGGGGCAUGGCGGGGGCGCCCUUGUCCAGCGGGCCGUGCAGUGCUGGGCUAGGGGGUCAGCUCCGGUGGGCUCCCAGACCCCACCAGGAGGGGCGACUCGUGUUUCACUUUCUGCUGUGUCAUGGGGCGUGGGGUGGUGGAGGGGCCCUGCUGGCCAGCCUGGCCGGGGCAGAGCCAGCGGACAGCUGCGGGCCCAGCUGCCAGAGCCCCGCCCCAGCCCUGCAGCCUGCCAGGAUGGGAGCUGGGCCCCAGGGCGCUUCUUUUUACCUCCCACUACAAGCACAGUGGGAGCACCCCGGCGGAGAAAACCCAGGAGCUGGCUGCCUGGAUCCUUGGGCUGGAGGGGACACCCUCAAAACAAAAUUUUAAGCCACACAGGGUCAAAAUCUUAAGACUUGUGACUUGAUACUGGAUCGGAUGGCCCAGCUGGACACCAGCCUCCUACUCGCGUUGGUUGCACAGAUGUCUGUUGGGGACCUGCCGUGUCCUGAGUACCGUGCCAGGGGCUGGCGUGACAGUGGUGAGGGUCAUGUAGCCCCUCCCCCCGUGGGGGUCUCAGUGGAGCCAGGGAGGAUGACAAGCGAGCAAACAAAGGGGUGGAGGAUCCCUUGUUAGGGUGAAAAUUCCGUGCUGAACACCACCGAGCUCAGGCCUGGGGUCUUGCGUGGCCCUGGGAGUCAGCAAGCUAAGCGCACAGACUGGGACCAGCUGUCCUGUGUUUAAAUCUGGACUCUUCUAUUGGCUGCUUGUGCAGCCUCUGGCAGGAGACUUCUCUCCGUGCCUCAGUUUCCUCAUCUAUAGGUACUAGAACUACAAGGGGCACUCAGAGCUGUGGUGAGAAUGAAAUACAUGGGCUGCCGUGAAGAACAGAACAGCGCUGGCGGUGCCGUAUGCCUUAGCCGUUACAGAAGAACAAUGAACGCAGACUGCUAGACGAUGAAAUCCACCCCUCAGAGCUCGCUGAGAGCGCUGGGAGUAUGUAUGGCUGAGCUGGUCCCCCUUGCCACACAUGACACAGUCACAGCCGGCCCUCAGGGUCCUCACUGAGGUAAGAGGAUGAGGGAACAGGCUCAGGCCUCCAGAGAGCUGUGUUGGAGAUGCGGUCCGCACCCACACUCAGGGCCACUUGUCAAGGAAGGGCUCCACUCUUGUUUCCAACUCUGCAACCGUCACCUUGAAAUUCUUAACCCUUCCGAACAAAAGGGCUCGUACAUCUUUAAUCCUGCCUUGAUGUUACUUAUGCUGAACCUCUUAACUACUGACAUCAACCAGCCGCACAGCUGGGUGCAGAGUAAUUUUCCAAUUUAGCAACAUAUGAGACUUGUGACCAAAAAAUACGAUGUUUCCUUUUUUAAAAAUUACAGUAUUACCGUAAAAGACACACUGCCAUUAACCCCCCUCAGAAUACUGCCCCUGUUUCAAACACACUGAAUCCCACUUUUCUGGCCCCUUCCUGAAGCAGUUCUGAGGUCUUCGGUUAUGUCUUUAGUUGUGCUGCCCUGCCAAUCUCAGUGUUCUGCGUCUAUUCAAAAUGUUUAACUUUCGCGGUCAUUUUGACUUUGGGGAAGAGCCAAGAGUGCCAAAUGCAGUGCACAAGGUGGAUGAGGCCUCCCCAUGAUGUUUUUAUGAGCCUGCCUUUCUGGGAGCAGCAUUCACUGUAUUUUUAUCACAAAGACACUCCUGAAGGAGGACUCCCACAACUGCUUCAGAAAGUGGCAGGAAGGAUGGAAUAAAUGUGUUCAAAUGGAUGGGUAGAUUUUGAUGGGGAUUCAUCAAAAAACGAAACAAAAAAAAUAUCACUACCCCCAACUUAAAUGUUCACUGUAUAUUUUUUUAUUAUACCUCGUAGUGCUUUGUAAUGGAACUGAAAUUCCCAGGAGACUAUGAACACUUAUCACAGGCCGGAUAACCCAAAUGCUUGUUUGUCUGUCUGUGGUCCCCAGGAGAAGGCUGCCAGGGGUGGCAGCUGAAGGUAGAAGCCUUGUCUCCUUCCUGCCAGACCUUCAGAUCCUGGCCUGUAUUAGGUGCUCAGUUAAUAGUAGUGAACUGAAGCCAAAGAUUUGGGGCCGCUGUGUCUCCUACUUCCAUGACCCUUCCAGGGAAGUAGGUGACGGGUGCGGUGUCAGUCCUGGCCACCCCAGCUGGCCUCCGGAGAGCCCCUGAGGGUGUGGAGAUUCUCCUACCCCUUGCCCAAGCCUGCUUACUCUUUAACAGCUUCUGCUUCAGGGUUCAGAGGCAACCCAGACCAUGGAGACCUGCAUUUCAGAGGCCUGCACUGGGAAAGAGGCGGGGUCUAGCCAAAAGAAUACUAGGGUUCUCAGGCUGAGCAGGUUCAAGACCCAGCUGGAGGUCAGGGGUCACGGCUUCUGGAAGUGUGAAAUGAGAUCAUUUUCCCUCUGAUAUUAAAAUUCAUCUACACUCUCAAAAACCUGAAAGUAUAAAUAUUACUAAAAGCAGAGAGCUAUUUCAAAAGCCUUUCGGGCAUUUAUAAUAAUAAACACAUACGGUUCUUCGCCAGCCUUUUUCACAAGCCUAAUCCAUCCUUUUAGAUGACAAGCCAUGAAGCCAUUGUCGUCAUCAUUGUCUAAAUAACAUCAUACCCACCAACAUAUAUUGAGCUCUUUCUUUGUCUGAGGCACUUUUGACUUGUAUGAAGUCAUUUCAGUUGCACAAGCAACAGACAUGAGAGGUACUGCUACUGGCCCCAGCUCUCUGAUGAGGAAACAGGCUUCGAGAGAUGACCUUACUUGUCCAAGGUCACAUACCUAGCAUGUGACAAGCUGGGGUUCAAACCUGGGUCAAGCCAGAGAGUAACUCUUUGAGGCUCUGCAGGCUACAAAGACUUGCAGCUGCUCAGCUCUGCAGAUGUAAGUCAAAAGUAGCCCUAAACAAUACACAAAUGGAUGGCUAUGGCUUGGUGUUACAAUAAAACUUUAUUUAUAAAACCAGAAAGCAGGCCAAAUUUGGCUUAUAGCCCAUUUGCCAACCCUUGUUCCAAACCGAAAGGCUGCCUUUCAGUUAGAUCAACACAAACUUGACCCUGGCAGUGUUCUUUCCCGACCUGUGAGGUGACUUAUUUCCAUGCCAGAGCGGACAGCUGCUGUGUGUGGAGAAGGUAAGUUGAGUCUGCCUUCCUUGUGGAAAUUCUGAAACUCUUGGAACUUAAUCUAUUAGUGACUGCUCCUGUAAAACAUCCUGAGGUUUUUAAAUUGAAAUUUUAGUAGUUGUCAAUUGAGGCACUUUAUUUUGUGUGUGGUGAUGGGGAUCAAAUCCAGGGUCUUACACAUAUGCUGACAUGUUACACCACCGAGCUACACCCUCAGCUCCCUGAUUACCACCCCCCCACCCCCGUACUGGGAAUUGAACCUAGGGAAUACUGAGUGAAGUCCCCAGCCCUUUUGAAAAAUUUUUGAACUUGUGAUCCUUUGGCCUCUGUCUCCUGUGUAGAUAGGGUUACAGGGUUGCACCUCCAUGGCCCCCGAUUAACUUUUAAAGAUGAAAGUGUUGUGGUUUAGGGAAAGACCUCAGUGGGACGCUUUUGCUGGGGAAGGCACUUCUCUGAGAUGAGAAGGAGGAGUAGGCCUGGGUAUAAACCUGUGGUAGAGCACCUGGCUAGCAUGUGUAAGGCCCUUGGUUCCAUUCCCAACACCACCAGGAAGAAAGAGCAAGAAAAAAAGGAAGGAAGGAAAGAAAGAAAGAAAUUUAAAGCAUAAGAAGACAGUGAGUGUGUGUGUGUGCGUAGGAGAGAGAGGGAGAAUUUCCCCAUAGGGUACCAAGGAGGCUGGAGCAUACCAAGAGAGUGGGGAAGAGGGCAUGAUGUUUAAAAAUAGCUUUAUUAAGAUGUAAUUUACUUAACAGGCAAUUCACUUUUUUCCCCAGUACUGAGGAUUGAACCCAGGGGCUGCAUAUUGAGCUACUUCCCCUCCCUUUUCAUUUUUAUUCUUUCAUUUAUUUAUUUUUUUUAUUUUUUUGAGACAAGGUCUUGCUAAAUGACUAAGUUGCUCAGCCUGGGUUUGAACUUGUGAUCCUCCUGCCUCAGCCUUCCAGAGUGGUGGGAUUAUAGGUGUGUACCAUUCACAUUUAAAAAGCACAAUUCAGUGGCUUGGAGUAUAUUAACAGAAUUGUGCAGCCAUCAUCAAUAAAUUUUAGAAUGUUUUCAUCACCUCAAAAAGAAGGCCCAUGCCCUUUAGCAGUCAUCCUGCCCACCCCAAUCUUCCAUUGCCGCCAACCCUAAGCAACCAUGAAUCUACUUCCUGUCUCUGUGAAUUUGCUUUUUCUGAACAUUUCCUAUAAAUGGGAUCAAACAGCCUUGGGUCCUUUGGGUCCGGCUUCUUAUUUAGGGUCUGAUAUUGCCAGGGUCCGGCCAUGUUGUAGCAUGUAUGAGGACUUCUUUCUUUUUCAUGACUGAGCAUCAACCUAACGUAUGGAUGGACGGACCAUAUUUUGUUUCUCCAUUUGGCAACUGAUGGGCUGUUUCUACUCUGGGGCUAUUAGGAAUAAUGCAGCUAUGAGUAUUCACGUAUGUUCUUGUGCAGACGUACAUUUCUGUUGGGCAUAUAGCUCAGAGUGGACAUGCUGGGUCAUGCAACAGCUCAAUGUUUAACGUUUGGUGGAACCACCUCUUUCAACUUUGUAUUUGGGACAUUUCCCACUGUACUUGAGAGUAGAGAAACUUUCGUAAUGUGCACCAGGUACCCAUUGUCCAGAUUCGACAAUGAUCAGCCUUUUGCCUAUCUUUUUCCCUCUGCCUUCUCUCUUCCUUUGUCUCCCACUGAGUAUCUUAUUCAGGCACUGCAUUUCAUGUUGUCCCAGCUGAGAGGCCAACAUUUUCUUUUAUCCCAAACCUUCAUUUGGAGUAGCCCAUAGCCACAUUCUUGUGUGAAUGGAAUUUGGGGGAAUGGAGGAGUUGGUCAGACUCCAGAGUGGUCAUGGUGUGGGAGGGGAGCAGCCCCUGAGUGAGGCAGGAUUAGCUAUACAAUUUGCAGGAUCUGGGUGAAAGGAACAUGUGGAACUCUUUGUUAAGAAGUUAAAGAUGGCAGAGCAUUAAAUCAAGCAUGGGCCUCAUGUAGCUGUAUAGGUUCUCUGCCCAUGAUGUCAGCCCAGCCCUUCAACCAGCGAAAAGGUGCCCAAGCAGAACUGGUUCAGCAGAUGCAGCAAUUUAGAACCUUGGAUACUGGGAGCAACAUAAACACCCCUCACCCUCAAUCUCUGGGAAGGUUCCAAGGGAAGUUGGGAAUGGUGUAGCAUAUGGGGCAAGAUGUAAACCCAUUUCAUUUUAAUCUCCAAAAAUAAGAUGACCCCAGCUGACAUGGGGGUUAUAAGCACUUAAAACAAUAAUCGUUUGUUGUAUGCCUUCUUCCUUGAGAGCUCACGGUUGUUUUAUUUGGCCACUCCAUUUUGUCCUGGGUUCUGAGUGUACUCUGAUAUCCCUGCAAAAGAUAGGGCUGCAGUCUUAAGAGCAGACACCCGCUGGGUUCCAAACAGCCCAGAGCUGUAGGGACCCAGGGUGCCCAACAGUAGCAGGUGGCCAUGGUAGACAUGGCUGCCAUUGAUGGCAACCAGUUCCUCCCAGCUCAGACACAGUUCCCACCAACCCAGGUGCCUCCUACUCCGUGUUUACCUAGGCUCAGCCCAAGGAUUCAUAAUCUUCUCCAACACCAAAGAUCCAGAGCCCCCUGUAUGGUUCAGGAUGAUGCCAGGGUGCAUUAUAUCAAGUGUCUUGUCAUGAAAGGGUAUACAGUACACGGCAAAAGGUGCCAGGGGUGGGCCUUGGUGAGAACAGGAAGGACAGCAUAGCUCUCCUGUUGGCCAAGGGGAGUUCACUCAUUCGUUCAGCCACUUGCUACCUACUGCACUUAAGGGCCUAUGGACUGGGCAAAAGCAAAACAGCAAUCAGCUGGGUAGACCUCUUCCACCACUCCACUGUCCUGACAAGCAGGUAAUAAAAAGAACAUUGUUAUAUUAUUUUGCUCAAUCUCCGAGUGUAGAAAUGGAAAUAAUUUUUAUCACACCAUUUUAUGUUUUUUCUUUUUUGGAGUGCUGGGUACUGAAUCCAACACCUCACAUGUGCUAGGAUGGCUCUAUCACUGAGCCACAUCCUCAGCCCCUUACCCAGAUUUAAAAAAUGAUAUCUUUCUUAUGGUAAGAAAAAUAAUGCAAGAGAGAGUAAGAUAAGAAAUAAAGGCAGGGCUGGGGAUUUAGCUCAGGGGUUCUGCCACCUGCCUCAAAAGUGCAAGGACCUGAGUUCGAUCCCCGGUACCAAAAAAGCAAAAACAAAAGAAAUAAAGGGGUCCCUUUGCAAUUUUUCUGUAGCUUUGACCUCACUUUCUAAGAAGUAACCACUGUGUGCAGUUUUCACAGUCUUUGUACGUGUUGUAAGCGUGGUCAAAGUCACGGGGCUGUUGCUGAGGAGGUUAAGGGUGCCACAAUACACCCUGAGGACAGAACACCUCUCAGACCCACAUCACUCUUUUCAAUCACGUCCAGCAUCCCACUGCGCUUACUUACCCUGGCCCCUGCUGGCCAACGUUUGCAUUAACUCCAGGAUUUUGCCUUUAGCGUGCAUACGCACUUUGGCACAUGGCCAACUGCACUUUGUAGGACAAAUUCCUAGAAGUGGAAUUUCUCCAUCGGAGGAUAAACGUAUUUUGGAUUUCUACAGCGAUUGCCCAGUGCCCCUCAAACAGGCUACGAUUCACAAGCCCCUCAGCCUCGUGUGUGUGAGGGUGCCUGGUUCUGACAUACUUUUUGCACCCCAGAAGGGCACAGUGUGGCAGGGGAAGCGGAUUCCCAGUGAGGCUGACACCUCUGAUGCCAAGUUUCUAGGGGAAACAAAAUUCUACUGUGUGAUUAUAAACCACUAGAGAGAAAAAGAGAAUGGAGAAGCCACCCAGAGUCCACUUUCCGCGCCCAGCACUGGGGGCUGAAGAUUCUCUUUCUGUCUUGAUUACAGAGAUCUGCCAGAAAUGUUGGUGAAUGAAAUGUGGAUGGAUGGCAUCAAGGCCAGAGGAUGCAAAAGGCCCUAGUUUUGAUAAAAAAAAGAAAAAAAAGAAAAAGAAAAAGCCAGCUUGGCUUGGCACCCUCCUUCCUGCCAGUCAGGGGACUGCAAAGCUGUUUCCAGAGCGCGGCUGAUGAAUUGAGGGAGGAGCAACAGGACAGUGCCAGUCGCCUCUCAGGGCUGCGCUAACAUAAAACCAAACAACUUGAAACUGUUCCAAGGGAGCGGAUUAAGGCAACAUGUUAUUCUGAGUGAUUGCUUAAUUUAUUGAGCUGCGGCUAGAUCUGUAAUGAAAUACAGCCCUUGUAACUGAUCACCUCCUACUGCAAUUGGACUUCUACAAUUAAGGGAUAUUUUCCCAGAGUUUCUCUCGAAGUGCCUGGAAUUUGUGGCCUCUGUGGUGGGGUGCUUCUGGCCGCGCAUGCUCCAGGCAAGCUUUUUUUUGGUUUGUUUUAAAGAGCAGCAGGUUGAUGUUAAUAAAGAAAAUAAGCAGCAUUUUACUGAGUGCCAUGUGUACAGCAGGUGGCUUAUAUACAUUUGCUCUGACCCCCUCCAUUUCCCAGUGAAAUAACCCUCACUAUUCCGUUUUACAUGGGAAGACAUGAGACAUGAGGGAAUUUUUUAGAGCAAGGCCCUCUAAGCCACACGUGACUAUUCGUGUCAAUUAGGUCAAGUUGAUUGCGUCUGAAAACGCACCCUUUGGGGGUGCAUGAGCAAUGAGUUCAAGUGCCAACCCUGCCAGACUGGGGGGCUGGUGGCCACCAUAUUGGAUGGUGUGCAUAUAACUCGUUUUUGAUGAUUAUAGAUCUAUUGCUCCGAGGUUGGUUCUAUAGAUCCAGAGAUUUCAUGGCAAGAAAUGGGCAGCUUCAGAAUUCAAAGCCCUAGUUAAUGGGCUUUGACCGUAAGCUUGUCUGCCACCCCUUACUUCCUUCUCCCGCACCAGGGACCCUCAGCCAGGCUGCGUGUUAAAAUUACCUGGAUCUUUCGGGUUGUUUUUAUUUUUGUUUGAGACAAGGUCUCACUAUGUAAUUCAGGCUGGCCUUGAACUCAUGCUGAUCCUCCUCCCUCAGUCUCCCAAGUGCUGGGAUUACAGUCAUGGAAUGGGGUGGGGGGACCUUUGCUUGUAGAAUAGCCUUUGUUACACUGUCAUGGAAGAAGCUAGAUAUAUCAUGGAGAUGACGUGAGAACCCUGUAGCUCCAAAUUGAAUUAGCAGCAUCAGGAGGAACGCAGGCACUCUCUCUCUCACUUUAUAAAGUGGAGCAUGGGGUUGCAGGUUCUGUCCACUGAGGUUAGAGACCACGACCAGUCACAGCGAGGACCCAGCACCAGGGUACGGUCCCUAAACACCUCUUUUAAUCAGCAUUCAAGGCCCCCUGGGCAAAUGGCCAAUUCCACAUCUGAGCCAAGAAAUGUUCCAGUGAGCCUGAGAUGUCUUUGUUUGUUUGUUUGUUUGGCUUUUGAGCCAGGGCCUUCCUUCCUUUAUAGUUUAGGCUGGCUUCGAACUGACUCCGGAGCCCAGGGUGGCCUCAAAUUCACGGCAGUCCUCCUGCCUCCAGCUCCUGAGUGCUGGGAUUUACAGGCCUGCGACACCACACCCAGCUGAGCCUUGACUAUCUUGUCACUGGGAAGCAGGAAAGCUGUUUCAACUGCUGGAGUCACAUCUGAAAGGAUGCAGGAGACAGCAUGAAAAGAUUCUCAUUGGCCAAAAAUGACAAUUUGAGCAUUAUUAGGAAUACUAACUAUAGCCAGAUGUGGUGGCACUCUGGGAGGCUGACGCAGGAGGAUUACAAGUUUGACCCCAGCCUAGGUAAUUUAACAACUUAAGACUCUGUCUCAAAAUAAAAAAUAUUAUAAAAGGGCUACACAUGUAGCUCAGUGCAAAGGCCCUGGGUUCAACCCAUAGUUGAACCAAAUAAUGAUAAUAAUAAUAAUAAUAAUAAUGCAAACCAAAUAAUAAUAAUAAUAAUUACAGUGUAUUAAACAUUUCAACUUCAUGUCCAAACAAUGAGUUCACCAUGAUGCUGGAGCACAAGAAAAACAUAAACUUACUCAUCACCAAGCCUCGCAUUUUGGAAACUGUCAAAGGAAAAGAAUCUAGCAUUUGGGCCGAGGAUUUAGCUCUGUGGUUCCACUGCCUGCCUUGCAAGUGCAAGGUCCCAAGUUCGAUCCUCAGUACCAAAAAAAAAAAAAAAAAGAAUCUAGCAUUUGUCCUUUUUGGAUGACCCAUACUCUAUGGAAGCCAAGCGAUGGAUAAAAUGGUGUGCUUUAUAGAAGUAUUUCCACUAACCAAGACAGACAGAGAUUAGGAUGCCACUGGUUUUUAGUCUCUAGGGGAGUGACAGGUCUGGACAGUGAUCAGCAGCAGCUAACAUCACAGAGGAAAAUCAGGUCUUGACCUCCAAAUCAGCUACUAGGAAGCAGACAAAAAAAUGCAUCUUUGUGAGCUUCCAGAUUGAACUAGCAAUACAGGAGGGAGAGGAGCAGAUAUAACACCUUUAUGAGGAUGCAAUAAGCAAAAUCCAGACUAUAGGACACAUCAUAGAGCAUCCAACCCAGUUUCUUCAGUAAACUGUAGGGAAAGAGAAAGGAAGAUGAAAGAGAGGUGUACGAGACACAGCAACCAAUCACAAUAUAUGAGCUUUAUUUGCAUCCUGAUCUUACCCAGUUGUGAGAAAACAUUUAAAAGAAAGCUAGAUAAAUGUGAAUCCUGACCAGAUAUAGUAUUUGCUGAUAUUAAAAGAUUUACUGUUUUUUGUGGGGUUUUUUUUGGUACCAGGGAUCAAACUCAGGACCUUGCACUUUCGAAGCAGGCACUGGAACCACUGAGCUAAAUUCCCAGCCCCCUUUACUGUUAAUUUCAAUAGUGGUAAUGGUAGUAAAAAACCCCCAAAACCUAAUUAUCAGCUGGGCAUGGUGGCACACACCUGUAAUCCCAGCACUCUGGGAGGCCGACACAUGUGAGUCUCAGGUUUGAGCCCAUCCCGGGCAACUUAGCAAGACAGUGUCUCCAACAAAACGAAACAAAAAAUACCCUACUUCUUUCUUGGGAGUUAUCUUUGGAAAUAUUUGCCAAAGAAAUGAUUGAUAUCUGGAUUUCCUUAUGAAGGGGAAGGAAGUGCCAUGGAACAAGAUUGGCCCAGGGUUAGUGACUGCUGUAGCUGGCUUUGCGGUACCAGAUGCUCUAUUCCUAUGUGUGCUUGAAGCUUUUCAUAAUAAAAAAAAAAA